This 440-nucleotide ribosomal RNA is filed under the name uncultured bacterium. Its description in RNAcentral is "partial 16S ribosomal RNA". It matches the Rfam family "Bacterial small subunit ribosomal RNA", at positions 338 to 795 of the family's 1533-position model. The record is from RNAcentral.
CCUACGGGUGGCAGCAGUAGGGAAUAUUGCUCAAUGGGCGAAACCCUGAAGCAGCAACGCCGCGUGAGGGAUGAAGGUUUUCGGAUUGUAAACCCCUUUUGUUAGGGAAGAUAAUGACGGUAUCUAACGAAUAAGCACCUGCUAACUCCGAACCAGCAGCCGCGGGAAUACUGAGGGUGCAAGCGUUACUCGGAAUCACUGGGCGUAAAGCGCGCGUAGGCGGGAUAGCAAGUCAGAUGUGAAAUCCCAGGGCUUAACCAUAGAACUGCAUUUGAAACUGGUAUUCUAGAGUAUGGGAGAGGUAGGUGGAAUUCUUGGUGUAGGGGUAAAAUCCGUAGAGAUCAAGAGGAAUACUCAUUGCGAAGGCGACCUGCUAGAACAUAACUGACGCUGAUGCGCGAAAGCGUGGGAAGCAAACAGGAUUAGAUACCCGUGUAGUC